This is a non-coding RNA of Pelobates cultripes (western spadefoot toad), 1920 nucleotides long. NCBI's taxonomy places the organism in Eukaryota, Metazoa, Chordata, Amphibia, Anura, Pelobatidae. The record is from the annotation of a GenBank genome assembly.
GUGAGUGUGUACCACAUUAUGUGCCUGACCAAGGGGUGUCAAAGGUGUCCUGUGACAAUGUGCAAGAAAAGGUUUUUAGGGAGAGAGGGCUGAAUGAAUGUGUGUGCCAAUAUGUGCCUGAAGCAAAUGUAUCAGGUGGGCUGUAUGAAAGUGUGAAGGGAAAGCAUGGCUGUGAGGGAGGGCAGAGUGUGUGUGGGCCCUCAGCUAGUUCCCAAGGUUCUGUAUAUGUGAGGACAUGGAGUGAAAAUGAGGGAGAGACAGAGGUUCCAUCAGUAGCAAGGGAGACCCGUCCACGGCCUGCCCAAAGCGAGGGGCAGGGACAGACUCAGCCUGUGGUCCCAGGGAGAAUGUACAGGAAUGGCUGCUGGACCGGAACCCCAAAACAGCAUUGGAAGCGGGUAAGCUGGCAGAUGUCCACACUGCCAACCGAGCAACAGUGGACCGGAGCAUACUGAUGGCGGAACCAGGAACCUUGUCAGCUUAUCACAAUCACACCUCACAUAUACACACAAGUCAGCUAAGGAGCAGGAGUCUGUCUCUAAGCAACUUGUUGAUUCUGAACCAAAGGUUCAGAGUAAAAAGGUGCAACGAGACCACAAAAUAAACGAGAUAAGGAGUGUGGAUACAGCGCAGGUACACUGGGAGUGUCCUCUGUCUCAUCUUUUGUGUGCUUACAGGGGAGUACUGCAGAAAUCGGUUGGUUUCUUCCCCUUAGAGCUACUACACGGGCCAGUGGGUGUGGCCCAAGAGAUGUGAUCAGAGCGCAGUGGGAGAUGGAAACAGGCAAAUCAGGCAUGCGUGUUGUGGAUAUGGCUGUGAUAUGGCUUAGGGACAAAGGGCAAGCCUUUUUGGGGGAGGUGUGUGAACACGUUAGGGCUACCCCAUUCAUGGAGAAUCAGAGUUAUGAACAAGAUGAGUGUAUGAGGUGGAGGCAAAAAGGAACGAGUGUUGAUACGCAAGGUAGAGGCAUGUGAGCCUUCUCCCAUUGCGUCUAAUAUUUGGGGGAGGUGUCACGGCAAGGGUGUAUAAUUUAUUAUUACACCAUGGAAUAUCAUCUUUUAAUGUAAUUUGUGUAGUAAAUGGCACAAAUUACAGAGAAGCUAUUGCUGAGGUCAACAGGAGUUACAUCUUUUGAAGCUGGGACCCCCACAGAGGUCAGAUGACAGAAGGGGUAAUGUGAAUGGCAUAGGAAUGUGAAAAGGAUUUUACUAUAUGGAUGUGAAGUAAUAAAAGCUCUGCAAGGUGUGAGGUUCUACACUUGGAAAAAGUCUGAAUGUCUCUUCAUCCAUUUGGCAUGUACCUUGUAAGGGAUGAGUAAAUCUCUUUGACAUGUAAAUGCCACUAGCUUUGUUCUAGUAUCAUAUCCAAAGGAAGGACAAAAAACAUUCAUAUUUACCCCCACAGAAUAAUAAUAAAGCCUCAUUUUUGUUAUAUUUGGAAUGUGACAAGCGCCAUCUUCUAACCAAGUCCAAACAUGAGUGGCCUAACUUGAUCCUAGGGAAAGGAAUUGUGAUGUCCGUCCUAUAAGAUCGUGGGUGGGACGUGCAACAUGUCUAUGGAAUGGGAAAAUAAUAACAAUUUUGUAGAUGCAAUUAUUAUUUCUGUGGCAGGUACAAAAAAGAAGAUAGAGUCAAAUGUUUCCAUUUGGAUUGACAGUGGUCUGGAACAAAGGAGGUGGUCAGUUAUUAUUACUGUAGGUAUGCCUUAACUCCACCCUUGGGCUAGACUUGAUAAACCACAGGGUAUAUAUCUAAUGAUCCUGAAGGGUGUUUGUGUACUUGCUUGGGGCCAAGAUCUAAUUUUGAGUGAGUCACCAUCUUUCCUUGCCAGAGACCCCCUGGACAGAAGUUGUACUUUGAAAACCUAAGUGAGUAAUUAGGACUUCUGUAUUUUAUCCUUUUUGUUUUUAUCUGUUGUUGG